Molecule: long non-coding RNA, 391 nt
Organism: Solanum pennellii
Lineage: Eukaryota; Viridiplantae; Streptophyta; Magnoliopsida; Solanales; Solanaceae
Exons: 3
Source: RefSeq, a predicted model, not a curated record
UUCUAAAUUAAGUCAUUGGCGGUUUAUUAGGGUCUUUUGGGUAUUUUAAUUAAGUAUAUAAAGGGUAAACACCUUAAAGACUUCAAUUCUUCCAAAUUGAAAACCCAAAACUCUUAGAAAAAUCCCAAAGACUCCAUUCAAGUCCAAAUUGAAAAAGCAGCUUGUUGUGGGGGUUUUGAGUGGAAAUUCUUCAUCCAAGUGAAUAAUUAUCAUUCUUGAGAUUGGAAGCUUUUGAAGGUUUGAAGGCUAGAAGCAAGAGCUUGGUUCCUACCUUCUUGCGGGGCAUGAAUAUCUUCCACCGAUAAGUAAAUUUCAUCGAGGUGUGAAAUCUUUCCACGAUGCAUAACUUUCUGCGAGGCAUGAAAUCCUCUCGUGAUGCAUAAAUUUCGAC